AGGGGGAGGGUGGCCGAACCCCCCGGGGCGUGCAAGGGUCGUGUUUUAUGGGCAAAAACACGUGGAUUUGAGUGGGAUCCAAGAGGUUGGCGCACGCCCCUAGGCAAGACGUAGCGGUUGGCUCAGUCGGAUGACGUUUCCCUGUAACCAUCACCGUAAACCGGUCCUUUAGUAUCCGUACGGGGAUCUGGGUCUGAGGUGUAUUGCAUGAGGUGUAGCACCAUGAAAUUGACGAUUUGAGCUCCGCCGCGCAACAACGUGUUUAUCCGGUGUCGUCCACGAUACUUGGGAGUCACUGGCCCGGUCUCGUAAACGUUCCCAGUCGGUAUGAUUCCCCAAAAAGGUGAUUGCCGCGUUACGUUUUUCGUGUUCCAUAUGGGCUACUUCUCCUCAGUCGCUCUGGGUGGUCAUCCAUGUUAACCACGGAUAAUGCGCUUAUCCGGUGUCGUCCACGAUACUUGGGAGUCACUGGCCCGGUCUCGUAAACGUUCCUAGUCGGUAUGAUUCCCCAAAAAGGUGAUUGCCGCGUUACGUUUUCGUGUUCCAUAUGGGCUACUUCUCCUCAGUCGCUCUGGGUGGUCAUCCGCGGUAGGCACAUUCCAUCGCCUCUAGUCCCUUCAGAGAAAUGUUGCCCCAUGACGGUAUCGUUAUUGGUGUAACACCCGCGCGCCGUGGACACUCAUUGGUGUAACACCCGCGCGCCGUGGACACUCAGGACGCCUUCGUGCAGGCCAUUCCCCCGUGCUAUGCGUGGGGGGAGGCUUGGUUGGCUUGACCGAUGUGGAUACGCGAGCGGAUGAGUAGCUUUGGACCCGUGUCUGUUGUUAGAUCCCCCGUCCUCGUGCGGCCGACUAGCGACGCCGUGUCCCGUCAUUCGUGUGGCUUAUGUUACUGUUGCCUUUCAAGUGCUUGCGUGCAUGUACCCGACCUACGGGAAGUGGUGCUUUGUACACGCUUGCCUCGCGGCGGACACCUCUGGGUGUUCCGCUGCGGCCUAAUGGCGCUUGCGGCGUUACCUCGUGGUACUGGCACGUUUUGUGCUCGGUGCUAUCAAGGAAGCCUCGCUCUCGCUAUUGGUUUCGGAUGCCGCUCACGAUAAUGGUUAAUGGCCCUUCUGGUUGCCGCUCACGAUAAAGGUUAAUAGCCCUUCUGGUUGUCGCUAGUCCCACCUGAAAAGAAGCUUUCUGGAUCUGAACGGCGGUAGUACGGUGUGUUGCAUGUAUUUCCCACAGUUUGUGGGGAGAAGCAACACGCUUGGAAACCUCUCUAGUAGGAAAAGGAAAGCUUAGUCCCGUUCAAGUGCGACAACCGGACCGGCUAUUGACCUCAAAACAAGCUCUCUGGAUCAGAACGGUCUUAGUACGGGGUGUUGCAUGUAUUCCCCACAUUUUGUGGUAGGAGACGCAUCACGCUGGAAAUGUCUCUAGUAGGAGAAGGAAAGCUUAGUCCCGCUUAAUAGCGACAACCGGAACGGCUGUUGACCCACCUCAAAAGAAGCCAUCUGGAUCAGAACGGACUUAGUACGGGGUGUUGCAUGUAUUCCCCACAGUUUGUGGUAGGAGACGCAACACGCUGGAAAUGUCUCUAGUAGGUGAAGGAAAGCUUAGUCCCGAUGAAUUGCGACAACCGGACCGGCUGUUGUCUGCCUGCAAGGGCGGAUGACUACCGUCGCUGGACGUCGAAGAGGACUCGC
This 1693-nucleotide unclassified non-coding RNA is filed under the name Avena sativa (oats). Its description in RNAcentral is "external transcribed spacer". The record is from RNAcentral. Lineage: Eukaryota; Viridiplantae; Streptophyta; Magnoliopsida; Poales; Poaceae.